UUGCGGUUGAACUGAGCCUGC
RNAcentral lists this unclassified non-coding RNA (21 nucleotides) under Chlamydomonas reinhardtii. RNAcentral describes it as "small RNA Cre_3957". The record is from RNAcentral. Lineage: Eukaryota; Viridiplantae; Chlorophyta; Chlorophyceae; Chlamydomonadales; Chlamydomonadaceae.